RNAcentral lists this ribosomal RNA (279 nucleotides) under uncultured bacterium. Its description in RNAcentral is "partial 16S ribosomal RNA". It matches the Rfam family "Bacterial small subunit ribosomal RNA", at positions 506 to 784 of the family's 1533-position model. The record is from RNAcentral.
UGCCAUCCGCCGCGGUAAUACGGAGGGGGUUAGCGUUGUUCGGAAUUACUGGGCUUAAAGGGUGCGUAGGCGGGUUGGUAGGUCAGAUGUGAAAGCCCACGGCUCAACCGUGGAAUUGCGUUUGAAACCACCAGUCUUGAGGGGAUCAGAGGAGAGCGGAACUGAUGGUGGAGCGGUGAAAUGCGUUGAUAUUAUCAGGAACACCGGUGGCGAAAGCGGCUCUCUGGGAUCCUUCUGACGCUGAGGCACGAAAGCUAGGGGAGCGAACGGGAUUAGAUA